AGUAAUUGCCCACUGGGAACUAUUUCUAAUAGUUCUCACGCCCCUGUUUUAUGGUUUACUUUUCAGAGCCUUCGGCACCGGCGGAGGCACGGGAUCGCGGCAAGGGGAUCGCUUAGCUAGCUAGCGAGGAGCGAUACUUUGCCUAGGUGGUUACUCUUUCUUUUGUUUUUGAGAGAGUGUGAGAUUUUUGUAUCCGUGUAUAGAGACCACCUAUGUACCUACCUAUAGCACUUGUAUUUGGGAUUCCCUAUUGUAUUUACUUUAUGUCUUAUUUAGCGAAUUUACAGUUUCAUCCUUAUUUCUUGUUGUAGCAUUUAGACAUUUAUUACGCUCUGAUACACCUAGAUGUCUAUUAUUAUGGCUUUAUUAUUGUUGUUCUUAGACGCCUUAUAUGUUGUAGACAUAUGGCGGGUCUGGGCACGCGCCGGGCGGGCUUCCGCUGGGCCCCGGGGCGUGACACGUGAUGUAAAAGAGAAGAAAUGAUGAAAAAAUGUAGAUAAUUUUCUAAGUAUAGUUUAUUACUUUCACUAUUGGCUAUUACUUGCUCUCGUGCAAGCCAUUGUGUAUGCUUCCGUUUUGUGCAAAAUUUAUACUCUAUUU
Molecule: long non-coding RNA, 600 nt
Filed under: Ananas comosus (pineapple)
Lineage: Eukaryota; Viridiplantae; Streptophyta; Magnoliopsida; Poales; Bromeliaceae
Description: long non-coding RNA (ACOM_LNC041928)
Source: RNAcentral